UACUAUGUUACGACUUAUCUCAUCUUAAUAACGAGAGUGACGGGCGAUGUGUGCACAUUUUAGAGCUAAAAUCAUUAAAACAAUUCUUAUUAUUAAUUACUAUUAAAUCCCCCUUCAUAAAACAAUUCCAGGCCUUAAUCCGUUUAUCUUAUAAAUAUUGUAAUCCAUUUCCACUCAACCAUCAACUGCACCUUGACCUGAAAUAAAAUCAAUUAUAACUUAAAGAAAAUUACCCUAAAAAGAUCUUCAAAUAAACGGCGGUAUACAUAUUAAAUUAUAUUGAGUAAGGUUCAACGCGGAUUAUCGAUAACGGAACAGAUUCCUCUAACUAGACUAAAAUACCGCCAAAUUCUUUAAGUUUCAAGAUCAUAUCUAAUACUACUCAAGUUAAAAAUUUUAAAUCUAAAAUAAUAGGGUAUCUAAUCCUAGUUU
This 432-nucleotide ribosomal RNA is filed under the name Panesthia angustipennis yayeyamensis. Its description in RNAcentral is "partial 12S rRNA". Lineage: Eukaryota; Metazoa; Arthropoda; Insecta; Blattodea; Blaberidae. The record is from RNAcentral.